CGAAACGAUUUGACUUCGCUGUGAACUGCAGAGAUGGAGAUAUACGACAGCAGAUAUUUUAUAAUAAACAAGACACUGAUGACGAAGAUGGGACUGUGGCCUUAUCAGCAUCCUUUGAAGAAGUUUCUCGUGCGUACUUUCCUGGUGGUAUUCAUUUUUGUCUCGUCGAUGCCUCAACUGUACGGGCUGAAGAAGAACUUCGGCGUCCACAUGGACAAAAUCAUCGAGCAUCUGGCUCUACUGAUGUAUAUUUACGGGAUCAAGCUGAAGCUGGUCACGUCGAUCCUGUCGGAGAAGAAGUUGAAAAAGGUAUACGAAAACAUAAUGGAGAACUGGCAACAAAUCAAGGACGUGCACGAGAGGGCGAUUCUCGUCGAAUAUUCCGAGAGGGGAAGGACGCUCACUAUCGGAUACAUAAUGUACAUGACAUCAGCCCUGUUGUUCUUCAUAAUUCUCCCGAUAACGCCGAUGGUGCUGAACGUGAUCAAGCCUCUGAACGAGUCUCGUCCCUGGGACUUCAUAAUGCACGGCGAAUUUCCAGUCAACGACAUGCACGCGCACUACGGCGAGAUCUACCUCUUCGACUCCCUGGCCUGCAUUGCCACCGUCCUGGUCUUCUGCACCGUCGACUCCAUGUACGCGACUUGCAUCGAGCACUGCAUUGGACUGUUCGCCAUCGUCAAGUCUCGGCUGGACUUGUCGACCAAGUUCGUCAAUCGACAAGGCGCUCUGGGAAUCAAGCGAGAUGACAAGGUGUACGAUCUCAUCGUCAAGACGAUAAAGCUGCAUAAGAAAAUCAUAAAUUUUACGCACAUCCUGGAAUCGUCUUACUCCACUUCGUUCCUCAUUCUUAUGGGUAUGAACAUGCUCUACUGUAGCCUCGUGUCGGUUCUCCAUAUAAUUUCAGCUGAUCAUCAAAAGCGACGCGUUAAUGGAACGCAUAAGAUACGGCACAAUCCUUUUGGGUCUGCUGAUACACCUGUUCUACAUCAGUUGGCCAGGACAGAAGAUCAUAGAUCUCAGUACUGGGCUUUUCGAAGACGCGUACUCUAACGAGUGGUACGAAACGUCGAUAAGGUCCCAGAACCUGUUGAAAUUCAUGAGACUCAGGUGCCUGACUCCUUGCCAGUUGACAGCUGGUGGUAUUUACGUGAUGAAUUUCGCCAAUUUCGCAUCGAUCAUCAAAACGUCAACGUCGUACAUCACAGUUUUCGCAUCGUUCACUUAAGACUUUAUAUAUUAAACAAGAAUUAAAAAUCUCAUAUAGCAUUUAUUGUAUAAAUUGUCAUUGUACAGCUCAAUAAACGUAAUUC
Nasonia vitripennis (jewel wasp) is the source of this 1313-nucleotide RNA transcript. It is a transcript of the gene named odorant receptor 140, with no coding region annotated. The transcript has 9 exons. NCBI's taxonomy places the organism in Eukaryota, Metazoa, Arthropoda, Insecta, Hymenoptera, Pteromalidae. The record is from RefSeq and is marked inferred.